GCUAACUCCGUGCCAGCAGCCGCGGUAAUACGGAGGAUGCGAGCGUUAUCCGGAUUUAUUGGGUUUAAAGGGUGCGUAGGCGGAAUGAUAAGUCAGUGGUGAAAGUUUUCGGCUCAACCGGAAAAUUGCCGUUGAUACUGUCAUUCUGGAAUAUGGUUGCUGUGGGCAGAAUGUGUGGUGUAGCGGUGAAAUGCAUAGAUAUCACACAGAAUACCGAUUGCGAAGGCCGCUCACAAAGCCAAUAUUGACGCUGAGGCACGAAAGUGUGGGGAUCAAACAGGAUUAGAUACCCUUGUAGUC
RNAcentral lists this ribosomal RNA (300 nucleotides) under uncultured Parapedobacter sp. RNAcentral's name for it is "bacterial SSU rRNA". It matches the Rfam family "Bacterial small subunit ribosomal RNA", at positions 496 to 795 of the family's 1533-position model. The record is from RNAcentral. Lineage: Bacteria; Pseudomonadati; Bacteroidota; Sphingobacteriia; Sphingobacteriales; Sphingobacteriaceae.